UAUACAAUUAGGCAAGAGCUGAUGAUCCUGCGCCUAGAAUCAGACGUCCUUGACGCAAUAUAAUGUUUUAUGGAAAUGCAGGGACUGAGUGGUACAUUUGAAGGAAGGAAACAAAUGAAUCUCAAAGAAAAAAAAGUGAUACGUAGGGGUAGGCAAUUGGUUUUGUAGGAUAGAUGUUUCCUUUUGAUGCGGGUGGGGAGGGGUAGAGGUUCUCCCUCGUGUAGUGUGCUUGAGCUCCUCUUCUUUGCUUGCCCCCUAAUGAGGGUAUCUCCUUCCUUUAGAGAUUGGUGGUUUACCAAUAUACAGCUCCAGUGU
RNAcentral lists this unclassified non-coding RNA (315 nucleotides) under Hevea brasiliensis (rubber tree). Lineage: Eukaryota; Viridiplantae; Streptophyta; Magnoliopsida; Malpighiales; Euphorbiaceae. The record is from RNAcentral.